Molecule: non-coding RNA, 72 nt
Organism: Podarcis lilfordi (Lilford's wall lizard)
Lineage: Eukaryota; Metazoa; Chordata; Lepidosauria; Squamata; Lacertidae
Source: the annotation of a GenBank genome assembly
GGCCCUAUCGCUUAGUGAUAGAGCAUGUGUUUUGCAUGCAAAAGCCCCAGAUUCAAUCCCUGAUAGGUGGCA